UACGAAGGGUGCAAGCGUUAAUCGGAAUUACUGGGCGUAAAGCGUGCGUAGGUGGUUUGUUAAGUCUGAUGUGAAAGCCCUGGGCUCAACCUGGGAAUGGCAUUGGAUACUGGCUUACUAGAGUGCGGUAGAGGGAUGCGGAAGUUCCGGUGUAGCGGUGAAAUGCGUAGAGAUCGGAAGGAACAUCUGUGGCGAAGGCGGCAUCCUGGACCAGCACUGACACUGAGGCACGAAAGCGUGGGGAGCAAACAGG
This 253-nucleotide ribosomal RNA is filed under the name uncultured bacterium. RNAcentral describes it as "partial 16S ribosomal RNA". It matches the Rfam family "Bacterial small subunit ribosomal RNA", at positions 524 to 776 of the family's 1533-position model. The record is from RNAcentral.